Molecule: long non-coding RNA, 345 nt
Filed under: Elaeis guineensis (African oil palm)
Lineage: Eukaryota; Viridiplantae; Streptophyta; Magnoliopsida; Arecales; Arecaceae
Description: long non-coding RNA (EGUI_LNC042852)
Source: RNAcentral
CAUCUCAUAUGUGAUUGGCUUAUAGGGCAUUAUUCUUUCAUGCAUAGAUUUCAAAAAUCUUUUUCAAGAGCAGCGAAAACAAAUCGGAUUAAACCUUUUAACCUCACAUACAUUAGAUCUCAUCUAAUCUGACCCAAUCUUUGGAAUAAAGAUAUGCAUAUAAUCUGAAAAUAAAAAUAAAAAUAAGAUCACAUCUCAAUACCUUUACACGGAUAGAAAUAUACCACUUCCGAUGAUCUCAGAUUCGAAGGUCCUUGAGCUGCAUGCAUGUUUGGCUUUUACAGAUAUCCAUCGAGAUCAAUCUUGAAUCCUUCUUCUCAUGAUAGAUUCUUCUUCUUCAAGUAC